AUAAGGGUUAUCUGGCUGGAAUGUGUUAUUUCAUUGAUUGUCAGGGUUGGCUUGCUGAUCUGGCUGGUUAGGUGGGUGUCCCCUUCCUCACUGCAGCAUGUGUCUCCUGAGACUGCUGGGAUGAAGAGGACAAUUUUUCUUGUAAAGGAGAACCAUUCUCUGAUGAAGGGCAUGUGAAUAGCUGUGCUCCCCUUCUACAAUCUCCAAACAAACUCUCGAUUGUUCAGGUUUAACUGGCCAAUAAUAUGUUAAGCCUGUCAACAAAUGACUGCUUCCUAGAACCCUGACAUCAGU
RNAcentral lists this small nuclear RNA (294 nucleotides) under Octodon degus (degu). RNAcentral's name for it is "7SK RNA (ENSODEG00000023028.1)". It matches the Rfam family "7SK RNA". From Rfam's summary of the family: 7SK was discovered as an abundant small nuclear RNA in the mid-70s but a possible function has only recently been suggested. Two independent studies have found that 7SK RNA binds the CDK9/cyclin T complex (known as elongation factor P-TEFb). The record is from Rfam by way of RNAcentral. Lineage: Eukaryota; Metazoa; Chordata; Mammalia; Rodentia; Octodontidae.